AUCCAGCUGACGAGUCUCAAAUAGGACGAAACUCGAGUCAAAAUGGAU
Non-coding RNA from Schistosoma margrebowiei, 48 nucleotides. The record is from Rfam. NCBI's taxonomy places the organism in Eukaryota, Metazoa, Platyhelminthes, Trematoda, Strigeidida, Schistosomatidae.